RNAcentral lists this small RNA (21 nucleotides) under Bombyx mori (domestic silkworm). Its description in RNAcentral is "ovarian small RNA-15258". Lineage: Eukaryota; Metazoa; Arthropoda; Insecta; Lepidoptera; Bombycidae. The record is from RNAcentral.
GAAGGUGUUGAAAAAUUGCUU